GCGGUUGUGGCUCAGUGGUAGAGUGCUUGCUUAGCAUGCAUGAGGAUCAGGGUUCAAUCCUCAGCACCACA
This 71-nucleotide transfer RNA is filed under the name Marmota marmota marmota (Alpine marmot). It matches the Rfam family "tRNA". From Rfam's summary of the family: Transfer RNA (tRNA) molecules are approximately 80 nucleotides in length. Lineage: Eukaryota; Metazoa; Chordata; Mammalia; Rodentia; Sciuridae. RNAcentral also lists the same sequence under 1 other name. The record is from Rfam by way of RNAcentral.